RNAcentral lists this ribosomal RNA (265 nucleotides) under uncultured bacterium. RNAcentral's name for it is "partial 16S ribosomal RNA". It matches the Rfam family "Bacterial small subunit ribosomal RNA", at positions 524 to 788 of the family's 1533-position model. The record is from RNAcentral.
UACGUAGGGGGCCAGCGUUGUCCGGAUUUAUUGGGCGUAAAGCGCGUGUAGGCGGUCCGGUAAGUCGGCUGUGAAAGUCAAGGGCUCAACCCUUGAAUGCCGGCCGAUACUGCCGGGCUAGAGUCCGGAAGAGGCGAGUGGAAUUCCUGGUGUGGCGGUGAAAUGCGCAGAUAUCAGGAGGAACACCGAUGGCGAAGGCAGCUCGCUGGGACGGUACUGACGCUGAGACGCGAAAGCAUGGGGAGCAAACAGGAUUAGAUACCCC